This is a long non-coding RNA of Zalophus californianus (California sea lion), 2093 nucleotides long. RefSeq lists it as uncharacterized. The transcript is spliced from 3 exons. The record is from RefSeq and is a predicted model, not a curated record. NCBI's taxonomy places the organism in Eukaryota, Metazoa, Chordata, Mammalia, Carnivora, Otariidae.
GCAGACUCCCCGCUGAGCAGGGAGCCCAAUGCGGGACUCGAUCCCGGGACUCCAGGAUCAUGACCUGAGCCGAAGGCAGUGUCCCAACUAACUGAGCCACCCAGGCGCCCAGCUAUGCAAUUUUUAAGAGUACGAGCUUUUCAUUUUAUAGGGCGACCCUCACCCCAAAGCCUACUGUUUCCUCAAGCCAUGCCUUCUUGGCAGGAGGAGCACAGAAACAAGACCGCCUUUCCAUCAGGAGGCCCAUGGUGACAGCACGCCCGGCGCUGGACAGAGGCAGAAGAUGUGGCUCCGGAGGUGUGGCAAUGGAAACAAGAGGAAGGGGGCGCAAGCCAAGGAGCGCAGGCAGCUGCCCACGCUGGAAGAGGCAGGGAAAUGAUUCUUCCCUGGAGCCUCGGCAGGAAGUACAGUCCUGCCCACAAUGGGACUCCAGCCCAGGAGACACAGUUCGGGGUCCUAGCCUCUAGAACUGUGAGAAAACCAGUUUGGUUACUCCUGGCCAAAUGCCCAGGCCUUCGGGGGGUACACGAAGUCUCCUUUGCCCUCAGGGAUGGCUGCCCUGAAGCAGCCGCGGUUCUCCAUCCAGUGUCCUCUACGGUGUCACCACCUCCAAGAAGCUUUCGAGGAUUGCUCACCCAGACUUGGUGCUCUCUUCUUCAGCCGACCCUCUAGAGAUCAAAAACUCCCUCGGCUCUCCAGCCUCCCUCUCUGCUCCUGUCCCUGAAAUGCAGAGCUCUGCUGGUGCAUUUGUGGCACAGACCCUGUCUGGGACUCACUGGUCACCAAGUCCAGCUGGGCUCCUGGUCAUAGCUUAUUGAGCUGGGUGUUUUGAACGGGACUGUGUGAGCUUUGGAGUCAAAGAGUUGGGGUUUUAACUCUUGGCCCCGCCAAGGACCAGGGGCAUAUUCUUUCAAUCAUUCAGCUACUACCCGAGCGCCUGCUGUGUGUCAAGCACUGUUCUAGACACAGGUGAUACAGCAAGCACGCUGGGUUGUGUGUUUUCAAUCUGGCAUCACUGCCCCCCCUUUAGAGUCUCCUCUGCAGAGGGAAAGCCAGAAUCACAUUUCCCAGAAUCUCCUCCGCUGUACAUUUCUGGGUUCGAGACCGUCAAUGAGAGGUAUUCAAAGGAGAUUUGGAAGUCAAAAGAGAAGCCAUUUUUCUCUCUGGAAUGCUUGCCGGCAGAUGGCGGAUAUCAAGUUUGCAGCAACUUCCGGGUAAAUGCCUGCAAAUUAUUUGCAGGUGAGUGACCUGGCCAGCAGCAGCUUUCUGGAAAGUUCUUUAAGAUUCACAGCAGCUUCUGGGCAGGCUCUUGAGAAUUGUUUCCUUGUCGCAACAGACUGAGACAGCUGACAACCAAUUCCAGGAGUUCUCAAAAUGCAUAAUAGGCUCCCAGCAAGCUCUUGAGAACCACCCACUUUCCUGUGGCAAGCUGAGACCACCAACGUCCCCACUGAUCUGGACUCCCUGCACUCCUCCCGACCAUUGUGUGAGACUCUAAUGCCAGGGAUUAAAACCCUUCACGUAUGGAAUCUAUAGAAUGGCUUGUUUUCCUGAUCAAGCCAUAGCUGAAACCAACAGCCCACCAAUCAAAGUCCCUAUCCUCAAAAAAGCUUGUAUUUCUAGUGGGCUGAGGCCGAUCAGAAACAAUCAAGGGAAUAAAUAAGAGUCACUUUGGUGAGGGUGGUCAAAGGGGCCCUCUCUGAAAGGUGACUUUUGAGCAGAGACCUAAAUGAUCCAAAGGAGGCAGCCAUGGGAAAGGCCAGGAGAACCUUCCAGACAAAGGGAACAAUGAGUCAAAAGGCCCCCACGAGACAAUGAAGAUGGCAUAUCCAAGAAAUAGCAAGAGGUCUUCACUCCUAAGCAGACUAGAGAAGCACCGCCACCCAACCUCGCCUCCGAGCUACCACUGGCGUCUAAUCUCUGCUUCGAGAACCUACUACUGUCCGCAAGGGUCUUUCUCAGCUUUUUGUUUACUGGACUAUUGUCCGUCUACCCUCAUUGUGAUACAAGCCUGUGUGGUUUUGACACUGUCCCCGGUGCCUGGCACAACGCCAGACUGCUGGAUGUUUAAUAGUAGUGAAUAAAGUGGGAUA